RNAcentral lists this ribosomal RNA (661 nucleotides) under uncultured Lactobacillus sp. Its description in RNAcentral is "bacterial SSU rRNA". It matches the Rfam family "Bacterial small subunit ribosomal RNA", at positions 71 to 699 of the family's 1533-position model. The record is from RNAcentral. Lineage: Bacteria; Bacillati; Bacillota; Bacilli; Lactobacillales; Lactobacillaceae.
UUUUUUUAUCACCGAGUGCUUGCACUCACACGAUAAAGAGUUGAGUGGCGAACGGGUGAGUAACACGUGGGCAACCUGCCCAAAAGAGGGGGAUAACACUUGGAAACAGGUGCUAAUACCGCAUAACCAUAGUUACCGCAUGGUAACUAUGUAAAAGGUGGCUAUGCUACCGCUUUUGGAUGGGCCCGCGGUGCAUUAGCUAGUUGGCGGGGUAAAGGCUUACCAAGGCAAUGAUGCGUAGCCGAACUGAGAGGUUGAUCGGCCACAUUGGGACUGAGACACGGCCCAAACUCCUACGGGAGGCAGCAGUAGGGAAUCUUCCACAAUGGGCGAAAGCCUGAUGGAGCAACGCCGCGUGGGUGAAGAAGGUCUUCGGAUCGUAAAACCCUGUUGUUAGAGAAGAAAGUGCGUGAGAGUAACUGUUCACGUUUCGACGGUAUCUAACCAGAAAGCCACGGCUAACUACGUGCCAGCAGCCGCGGUAAUACGUAGGUGGCAAGCGUUAUCCGGAUUUAUUGGGCGUAAAGGGAACGCAGGCGGUCUUUUAAGUCUGAUGUGAAAGCCUUCGGCUUAACCGGAGUAGUGCAUUGGAAACUGGGAGACUUGAGUGCAGAAGAGGAGAGUGGAACUCCAUGUGUAGCGGUGAAAUGCGUAGAUAUAU